UGGGGAAUAUUGCACAAUGGGGGAAACCCUGAUGCAGCGACGCCGCGUGAACGAAGAAGGUAUUCGUAUCGUAAAGUUCUGUCCUAUGGGAAGAUAAUGACAGUACCAUAGAAGAAAGCUCCGGCUAAAUACGUGCCAGCAGCCGCGGUAAUACGUAUGGAGCGAGCGUGGUCCGGAAUUAUUGGGCGUAAAGGGUACGCAGGCGGUUUAAUAAGUCGAAUGUUAAAGAUCGGGGCUCAACCCCGCAAAGCAUUGGAAACUGAUAAACUUGAGUAGUGGAGAGGAAAGUGGAAUUCCUCGUGUAGUGGUGAAAUACGUAGAUAUUAGGAGGAAUACCAGUAGCGAAGGCGACUUUCUGGACACAAACUGACGCUGAGGUACGAAAGCGUGGGGAGCAAACAGG
This 403-nucleotide ribosomal RNA is filed under the name bacterium. RNAcentral's name for it is "partial 16S ribosomal RNA". It matches the Rfam family "Bacterial small subunit ribosomal RNA", at positions 355 to 776 of the family's 1533-position model. The record is from RNAcentral.